UUAGAGUUUGAUCCUGGCUCACGACGAACGCUGGCGGCGUGCUUAACACAUGCAAGUCGAACGGGGCACUUAUGACGGAGAUUUCGGUCAACUGAAUAAGUUGCUUAGUGGCGGACGGGUGAGUAACGCGUGAGUAACCUGCCUUUCAGAGGGGGACAACAGUUGGAAACGACUGCUAAUACCGCAUAACAUGUAGAGACCGCAUGAUCUUUACAUCAAAGAUUUAUCGCUGAAAGAUGGACUCGCGUCUGAUUAGAUAGUUGGCGGGGUAACGGCCCACCAAGUCGACGAUCAGUAGCCGGACUGAGAGGUUGAACGGCCACAUUGGGACUGAGAUACGGCCCAGACUCCUACGGGAGGCAGCAGUGGGGAAUAUUGGGCAAUGGGCGCAAGCCUGACCCAGCAACGCCGCGUGAAGGAAGAAGGCUUUCGGGUUGUAAACUUCUUUUGUCAGGGAAGAUGAAGAGACUGUACCUGACGAAUAAGCCACGGCUAACUACGUGCCAGCAGCCGCGGUAAUACGUAGGUGGCAAGCGUUGUCCGGAUUUACUGGGUGUAAAGGGCGUGUAGGCGGGAAGAUAAGUCAGGCGUGAAAACCAGAGGCUCAACCUCUGGCCUGCGUNUGAAACUGUUUUUCUUGAGUACUGGAGAGGUUGGCGGAAUUCCUAGUGUAGCGGUGAAAUGCGUAGAUAUUAGGAGGAACACCAGUGGCGAAGGCGGCCAACUGGACAGCAACUGACGCUGAGGCGCGAAAGCGUGGGGAGCANACAGGAUUAGAUACCCUGGUAGUCCACGCUGUAAACGAUCAAUACUAGGUGUGCGGGGACUAACCCCCUGCGUGCCGCAGUUAACACAAUAAGUAUUGCACCUGGGGAGUACGAUCGCAAGGUUGAAACUCAAAGGAAUUGACGGGGGCCCGCACAAGCGGUGGAUUAUGUGGUUUAAUUCGAAGCAACGCGAAGAACCUUACCAGGACUUGACAUGGGGAUGACCGGUCUAGAGAUAGACCUUUCCUUCGGGACAUCCCACACAGGUGGUGCAUGGUUGUCGUCAGCUCGUGUCGUGAGAUGUUGGGUUAAGUCCCGCAACGAGCGCAACCCUUAUUGUUAGUUGCUACGCAAGAGCACUCUAGCGAGACUGCCGUUGACAAAACGGAGGAAGGCGGGGACGACGUCAAAUCAUCAUGCCCCUUAUGUCCUGGGCUACACACGUAAUACAAUGGUGGUUAACAGAGGGAUGCAAAACCGUGAGGUAGAGCGAACCCCUAAAAGCCAUCUCAGUUCAGACUGCAGGCUGCAACUCGCCUGCACGAAGUCGGAAUCGCUAGUAAUCGCGGAUCAGCAUGCCGCGGUGAAUACGUUCCCGGGCCAUUGUACACACGGCCCGUC
RNAcentral lists this ribosomal RNA (1388 nucleotides) under uncultured bacterium. RNAcentral's name for it is "16S ribosomal RNA". It matches the Rfam family "Bacterial small subunit ribosomal RNA". The record is from RNAcentral.